RNAcentral lists this ribosomal RNA (639 nucleotides) under uncultured bacterium. RNAcentral describes it as "bacterial SSU rRNA". It matches the Rfam family "Bacterial small subunit ribosomal RNA", at positions 232 to 885 of the family's 1533-position model. The record is from RNAcentral.
CGCGGCCUAUCAGCUUGUUGGUGGGGUAACGGCCCACCAAGGCAUCGACGGGUAGCUGGUCUGAGAGGACGAUCAGCCACACUGGGACUGAGACACGGCCCAGACUCCUACGGGAGGCAGCAGUGGGGAAUAUUGCACAAUGGGCGAAAGCCUGACGCAGCAACGCCGCGUGGGGGAUGACGGCCUUCGGGUUGUAAACCCCUUUCAGCAGGGACGAAAAUGACGGUACCUGCAGAAGAAGCCCCGGCCAACUGCGUGCCAGCAGCCGCGGUAACACGUAGGGGGCAAGCGUUGUCCGGAUUUAUUGGGCGUAAAGAGCUCGUAGGCGGUUGCGUAAGUCGGAUGUGAAAACUCAGGGCUCAACCCGGAGACGCCAUCCGAUACUGCGCUGACUAGAGUCCGGUAGAGGAGCAUGGAAUUCCUGGUGUAGCGGUGAAAUGCGCAGAUAUCAGGAGGAACACCAGUGGCGAAGGCGGUGCUCUGGGCCGGUACUGACGCUGAGGAGCGAAAGCGUGGGUAGCGAACAGGAUUAGAUACCCUGGUAGUCCACGCCGUAAACGUUGGGCACUAGGUGUGGGGCCUCCUUAACGGGUUCCGUGCCGUAGCUAACGCAUUAAGUGCCCCGCCUGGGGAGUACGG